Molecule: RNA transcript, 3046 nt
Organism: Dicentrarchus labrax (European seabass)
Lineage: Eukaryota; Metazoa; Chordata; Actinopteri; Moronidae
Gene name: zinc finger protein 679-like
Exons: 3
Source: RefSeq, a predicted model, not a curated record
AUGGGCUUCCAUACAAUUUAAUGAGGGCUGUUUUUUAAAAUGUGUGAUUUUUGAACAGAACAGUGUUAUACAUAGUCCAGUACAGUAGGUGGUGGUAUGACCCUUGGUAGAUAUUGUAUCUUUAGUAAAGGCUGGCACACUAACACAGUGCACACAGCUUGGCAGACGGAGAGCGAACAGUCGGGCAGCAGGAUGGCAAACGCUCCGCUUCAGUCAUUCAACGUCUUUCUGACGGAGCGACUGACCGCAGCUGCGAUGGACAUCUACGGCUUCGUUGAAAAGACAAUAAUAGAGUACCAGGAGGAGGUGUACCGGACCAAACUGGAGAACCAGAGGCUGCAGCGGCUGCUGGAUUUGGUCUACAAACCAGAGAUAAGACUGCACAGGGCAGAUUCAAGGCAGAUCGAUUUUCCCACACCGACACAGAAGGUUUGUGCUCAGGAGCAGAAGAUACAGAAGGAAAGUAUUCCCAGUGAGGCUGAUGAGGAGUCGGUCAUCCUGCCCGUUAAAGAGAAGCUGACUGAACCCUGGACCAGGUCUGUGGAGACACCAGUAGGUCCGGAAUACAGCAGCAUUACAGACACACUAACUCAAACUAUCACAGUUGGAGAACAUGAAGAAAAUGAGAUACCAGACGACCUCACUCAAAUUGUGAAAGUUGGAGAGCACGGCGACUACGAAGCACCAGACAGCCUAACUCGAGUCGUAACAGUCGGAGAGCAACUACAAUAUGAGACACCAUCACAACAUGAGCAACCGUUACCAUCCUUUGGACUAUCUCCAAUAUAUACAAAGAAGAAAAACAUGUUUUUUUGUAAUAUUUGCUGCCAGCCUUUUGUUAAAAAAGUCGAGUUGAAAUCACACCUUGCUGCUCAUGCAACACAAAGUUCACCAAAGUCCAGCAACAAAGCGUUCACCUGCUUCGUCUGCGGCAGAAGAACAGGCACCCGGAGUCAAAUGAUCUGCCACAUGAGAACGCACACCGGCGAGAAACCAUUCGGCUGUCCCAUUUGUGGCAACCGAUACAAACUGAAAGGUCACAUUAAAGAACACAUGAGGACUCACACCGGGGAGAGGCCUUACGCCUGCUACAUCUGUGGCCGAAGCUUCAACAGAUCUUCGACCAUGAGCAAACACGCCAGGAUCAAACACAGGGAGUACAUGCCGUUCAAGUGCAUGCAGUGCAGCCAGCGCUUCCCUCUGCUCGUCGUGUUGAAGCGACACAUGAAGACAGCCCACGAUGUCAUAUCCUCUGUAUGAGAUAAUGUUGAUGUAGCAACUCUUGACUGCUAUUAAAGGCAUACUAUGCAGGAUCUUUCUGUUGCACCAUUCAAAGUUGGCUUCUCCUCCCUGGCCUGAUGGAGCACCUUCGGUUGAGCUACACAGGGCAUGAAUGAGGAGAGGGAGCAACCUUAGUGAGAACAAAGCAGUGAAUCAGAGAGUAAAAGGUUAUUUUCUGAUGGUUUCACUAAAGCGUAAAACAAACAUGGCCACACAGAUGCUAUAUUUCUGCACACUGACCUGCAUCUUGUUAAAGUCCAGGCGAAAUGAGACAUUUUUACCCUUUAAGAUCAGCAUCCCCAUAGCCAUACUGUACCCCUAUUUAACAAUGUACGCUACAGCUGCUUGACCGAGGUGAUGUAACACACAGCACUACUGACUACUGCGACAAGUCCCUCCCUAGCUGCCUCCUGUUUUUACAGGAAAUACGUAAAUAUGUGGAAGCAAAUAGCACUCUGAUUUCCGUUUCAUGUGGACUCAGAUGGGGAGUAGAGGAGAGAGAUAAACAGAGACAGUGAUGUAACCUGGUCGCUAUGUCUUCAUAGAGUGCCGAACUCGGACCCUGCGCACUGCCCAAAGGCUGACGCCCAGAAAUGUCCCAAACACAGCAAAAUAAGAAAAUACAGGUGGAGGGCUGCAGGGUCUCUGCACAUACAGAAACCCAACACACUUUUAGUGGGUAUGAGCCACACAUAGUGAUAAUUUGGAGAUUGUUUUUAUGAGUCUAUACACUGUUUUUUGGGAAAAUCCUGCAUAGUAUGCCUUUAAAGUUGAGGCAGACGACCACCCACCUAGAGCCGAAGGGUCUGUCCUAGGUUUCUGCCUCUUAACAGGCAGUUUUUCCUUGCCCUUGUCGCCAAGUGCUUGCUCAUGGUGGUACUGUUGGGUCUCUGUAAAUAAUGUUAUAAAGAGUUCGGUCUAGACCUGCUCUAUUUGAAAAGUGUCCUGAGAUAACUUCUGUUAUGAAUUGGGGCUAUACAAAUAAAAUUUAAUUGAAAUUGAAAUGAAAUUGAAUUGGUAACACCUGUGUUUACCCUACUAUUUCAUGUCAAAAUGGCUGCUGUGAAAAAGGUCUAAUAUAUUUAUUUUGGCUUGAUUUGUUGUACCACUCAGGUCAUAAUCAAAAUAGAUUAUUACAUUUUCAAUAACACAUACAUAUGUGUAAAAUGAUAAUGCUUCCAUAGGCUUACGUCAUUGUUUUCCAAAAGCUCUGUUUUCCCCAUCCACACCAAAAUGCGAGUUCAGCAAUUUCAUAUUAAUUCAGUGGUGACAGAAUAUUCAGAAAUAAACUGGACAAGAGAACCGGAGAGAAAAAGUCAGUUUAGUGUGGUUGUAGUCUGAGAAGUUUGACUCAUUCAAUGCUACAAACAGUAAAUACAAAUGCAUAACCAUGAAACUAACACUGUACAGACUCUAGCUACCAACACACAUAAACAGUAUCCAUUUCAGUAUGAACCUUCCUCCCAUCAGUGGAUGCCAAGCUCAGAGAGGCUGUUUUAGAAAACAUAUUAGUAUGUAACCCAAACCGCAUGGAAACAUCUCCUGGCACACCGCACAAAUCUCUCCACCCCUGAGUCGGUUAGCCCACGCUAGCUGCCGCUAUUUAUAGCCAUGACAGAGCAGCUAAAAGAUGGCCGGGGGGCAGCGGGCCGCACUGUACGUCAGAAGAGAUUGGCGCUUUCUUUGUUGUGGAGCAGCAUGUCCAGACUGCUGGCUGGAUUGGGAAUAAUAACAGAGAUCCUUAGUGAUGUGCCUCGCAGUCCUC